GUCCUGAUAAGUGCAAGUUUUGCCGAAUCGCCCACGACCAGUACAAGUUCCUCCUCCAGCUCACCCCCAGAGAGAGAAAAAGUUGAAAUAACCUUUUGUCGACACGAAAAUAAGAAGAUCGAAAUCGGAGCAAAGGUCUACAAAGGAUGCGAGGAAUGCACAUGCACGACCAAGCCCUAUAUCAGCUUCUUGGGACCCGCGGAUCAAGGACAAGUGGUAUGCAGCGAGGGUACUGUUUGUUGUCAGUUCAUUGACAACGAAGGUAAAACUCAGCGAGCCUACACCGGUGACAAAUACAGUGAUGGUUGUAACACAUGUACAUGUAAAAAGGACAUGACUAAGGAUGAUUGCACUCAGCAAAAAUGUAAGAACAUGUGUCGGUAUAGGACUUUGGAUAAUGUCGUGAAUUAUACCAAACCCGAAAAGUUGAUGCGAUGGACGGGAAAAAGGACUGUCCCAGAAAGUGCAACUGCAAGCGAUCAGAAAAACUUAAGUGCACAGGACGCUGCACUAACGAGCUCUGGGUCUCAUGGUUUCUUUGACUUUGGUAUUCUGCACUAACGAGAGCUCUGGGUCUCAUGUUUUCUUUAGUUAAUAAUUUUAAGGCGGGCGAAUUAGUAAUAGCCCUGUGUUGAAGUUUAAACCAAGUUUGAGUUGAUAAUAAAACAAAAACAAUCUCUCUUAUAAUUAUAAAGAAUGAACAAUUUUAAAAUGUCUUAAGAAUAAGUAAUACAGUCACAAAUAUGUUAACAACUUUUUUCAAGCAUGGAAUAUGAAAUGUAUGGUAAAAAAUGUAUUAUUGAUUUACUACAACCAUA
Bolinopsis microptera is the source of this 818-nucleotide long non-coding RNA. RefSeq lists it as uncharacterized. Lineage: Eukaryota; Metazoa; Ctenophora; Tentaculata; Lobata; Bolinopsidae. The transcript has 2 exons. The record is from RefSeq and is a predicted model, not a curated record.